UAAUCGGGCAUCAAAAUUCAUCGAUAUGUAACCCUGAUCGAAGAGUCCUAAACCAGUGGGACUCUUGACCCCGGUAUCCAAAAUGUGUGAAAUUCAUGAUCAGAGAAUCUUGAUUCUUGAUCACAGAAUCUCAGACAUGAAGGACUCUUCACCAGCUAUCAGAUCAGAUAGGAACCUCUAAUGUGUGUGACCCCGCAGGUUCGAACCUAAGUCGGUAGCACAGGAACUAAUUCCUGUACUAAUCGAAGUGACCAUCUAGCAAUGGUACCCGAUAAUCGGAUAGAUCGAAUGGUCGCAAUUGCAACACUCAGAACCUACGUGAAUAUGGUUACUGUAUAAUUCAUCUUUUUGACCUCUGUGUUUGGGAUGACUCAGGGUUAAACUGUCAAUCCUGAUUAGAUCAUCCGAAUCAUGCUCAACUCAAAUAGUCCUGUGACUCCUCACAAAGACUGCCCUGAUCAAGGUUUUGCUAAAUUGAAACACGACUGUACACAACUCCUAAACUGGAGUGGUCAAUCCCAUCUUGACACACGCACCGACAAGUCAAGUACUUGACUACACCCAGCAGCCUUCUGUCACUGAAUUAGAAAUUCAGGUAGUCCAGUAGCUAAGUGCAGUGAGUUGCUUGCAAGUCACCGUGGCGGUCUCAGAUCGGAGGGAUAUUUAUACCCAUAUUCCAUCGGAGCAAAUUUUGACAGCAGAAAUAGCUCCAGAGUCGGUCACGUUCAGUGCAGAUGUACCUUUAU
RNAcentral lists this long non-coding RNA (746 nucleotides) under Elaeis guineensis (African oil palm). RNAcentral describes it as "long non-coding RNA (EGUI_LNC010184)". Lineage: Eukaryota; Viridiplantae; Streptophyta; Magnoliopsida; Arecales; Arecaceae. The record is from RNAcentral.